This 335-nucleotide unclassified non-coding RNA is filed under the name soil metagenome. RNAcentral describes it as "partial contains 5.8S ribosomal RNA, internal transcribed spacer 2, and large subunit ribosomal RNA". The stretch from base 1 to 120 matches the Rfam family "5.8S ribosomal RNA", at positions 35 to 154 of the family's 154-position model. The record is from RNAcentral.
GAUGAAGAACGCAGCGAAAUGCGAUAAGUAAUGUGAAUUGCAGAAUUCAGUGAAUCAUCGAAUCUUUGAACGCACAUUGCGCCCAUUAGUAUUCUAGUGGGCAUGCCUGUUCGAGCGUCAUUUCAACCCUUAAGCCUAGCUUAGUAUUGGGAAUCGACUUUACUGUCGUUCCUCAAAUUCAACGGCGGAUUUAUAGCAAUCUCUGAACGUAGUAAUUUUUUUCCUCGUUUUUGGAAUACUAUAAACCUCAGCCGCUAAACCCCCAAUUUUUUUAUGGUUGACCUCGGAUCAGGUAGGAAUACCCGCUGAACUUAAGCAUAUCAAUAAGCGGAGGA